This 1021-nucleotide ribosomal RNA is filed under the name uncultured archaeon. RNAcentral describes it as "bacterial SSU rRNA". It matches the Rfam family "Archaeal small subunit ribosomal RNA", at positions 282 to 1301 of the family's 1478-position model. The record is from RNAcentral.
GCAAGAGCCCGGAGACGGAAUCUGAGACAAGAUUCCGGGCCCUACGGGGCGCAGCAGGCGCGAAACCUUUACACUGCACGCCAGUGCGAUAAGGGGAUCCCGAGUGCACAGGCAUAGAGCCUGUGCUUUUCUGAACCGUAGGGAGGUUCAGGAACAAGAGCUGGGCAAGACCGGUGCCAGCCGCCGCGGUAAUACCGGCAGCUCGAGUGAUGGCCGAUCUUAUUGGGCCUAAAGCGUCCGUAGCUGGCCUUGCAAGUCCGUCGGGAAAUCCACCCGCUCAACGGGUGGGCGUCCGGCGGAAACUGUGAGGCUUGGGACCGGGAGGCUUGAAGGGUACGUCCGGGGUAGGAGUGAAAUCCCGUAAUCCUGGACGGACCGCCGAUGGGGAAACCACUUCAAGAGAACGGAUCCGACAGUGAGGGACGAAAGCUAGGGUCUCGAACCGGAUUAGAUACCCGGGUAGUCCUAGCUGUAAACGAUGCCUGUUAGGUGUGACUCCCACUACGAGUGGGUGUUGUGCCGUAGGGAAGCCGCUAAACAGGCCGCCUGGGAAGUACGUCUGCAAGGAUGAAACUUAAAGGAAUUGGCGGGGGAGCACUACAACCGGAGGAGCCUGCGGUUUAAUUGGACUCAACGCCGGACAUCUCACCAGCAUCGACUGUGGUAAUGACGGUCAGGUUGAUGACCUUACCCGAGCCACAGAGAGGAGGUGCAUGGCCGCCGUCAGCUCGUACCGUGAGGCGUCCUGUUAAGUCAGGCAACGAGCGAGACCCGCAUCCUUACUUGCCAGCAGCACCGUGAGGUGGCUGGGGACAGUAGGGAGACCGCCGUGGCUAACACGGAGGAAGGAACGGGCAACGGUAGGUCAGUAUGCCCCGAAUAUGCUGGGCAACACGCGGGCUACAAUGGCCGAGACAAUGGGUUCCAACGCCGAGAGGCGACGGUAAUCUCAGAAACUCGGUCGUAGUUCGGAUUGUGGACUGAAACUCGUCCACAUGAAGCUGGAUUCGGUAGUAAUCGC